Molecule: microRNA precursor, 105 nt
Filed under: Prunus dulcis (almond)
Lineage: Eukaryota; Viridiplantae; Streptophyta; Magnoliopsida; Rosales; Rosaceae
Description: sRNA ncRNA
Source: RNAcentral
UUCUCUCUCUCUCUCUCUCUCUCUCUUCUUUAUUUUUUCUUCUUCUUCUUCUCCCUGUAAAUUAAUAAGAGAGAGAGAGAUGGAGAGGGAGGGGGAGAGAGAGAA